UACGGGGGGAGCAAGCGUUGUUCGGAUUUACUGGGCGUAAAGGGCGCGUAGGCGGUCAGCACAAGUCAGUCGUGAAAUCUCCGGGCUUAACUCGGAAAGGUCAACUGAUACUGUGCGACUAGAGUGCAGAAGGGGCAACUGGAAUUCUCGGUGUAGCGGUGAAAUGCGUAGAUAUCGAGAGGAACACCUGCGGCGAAGGCGGGUUGCUGGGCUGACACUGACGCUGAUGCGCGAAAGCCAGGGGAGCAAACGGG
This 254-nucleotide ribosomal RNA is filed under the name uncultured bacterium. RNAcentral's name for it is "partial 16S ribosomal RNA". It matches the Rfam family "Bacterial small subunit ribosomal RNA", at positions 524 to 776 of the family's 1533-position model. The record is from RNAcentral.